GCCUGUCAGACAGCCAUACGACCAUCUCAGCCAGCUUGCUGACCGAGAACGAUCCCCUACAGCUUGGGGGAUUCUAUGGAACCAUCAAGCCAUCAAUCACGCUCUAAUCGCAUGGCAUCUUAUUCAUCCACCAGACUUGAGUUCCUGUCUCCUUAAUGCUUAAGGACACAGAAGUAGGAGCCUAUAGAACAGAUCCUGUUC
This 201-nucleotide small nucleolar RNA is filed under the name Hevea brasiliensis (rubber tree). The record is from RNAcentral. Lineage: Eukaryota; Viridiplantae; Streptophyta; Magnoliopsida; Malpighiales; Euphorbiaceae.